CUCUUGUACACAGAGCUCUGGAGGCCAUGGGGGUCGCCGUCCGGCUCCCUUUCCAACCUGCCCGCGGCCUCAGAGCUGGGCUGGUUCCCGAGUGACCUUCGCCUGCUGUCCCCCAUGCACCGGUCCCUUCCCAGCCCCCGCGGCCUCACUCCCUCAGCACCCAAAUGUGUCUGUGGUGGCCGCGGCAACAGCAGAGUGUCCGCCACAGUCCACAUUCUAACCCGUGCGCUGUCUCCAAUGCUGGUCACCUGGGCCUGCACCGGGAUCAGGACUCAGUCCUGGUGGUCACGGCUCACUCAGGACCUCCCAGGAUUGGUUUAGGAAGGAGACCUGAGGGGAACCUGCAGGGACAUCUAGCUAUGGCUUCCCUCUCUUAAAAGGAGACACAAGGAAGAGACCUCGUCUCCUGUUCCUGUCCCUGUUGGGCCCGUCUGUAAUGUCCAGAGCCCAAGCAGCCUUCUUGUGACCGUGAGGCCUGCCAUCUGAGGGCAGAUGAACUGAAAGGUGGGCCUUUGAUGCGGUUGUCCAGCCUCUGAACUUAGUAGCCUUGGAAUCCACCCUGUGCCCAGGCUUCUUGUUACUUGGAACAGUUCUAGGGACGAGGAUGUGGACACCGUUGGGGAUCACUGUUCCUUCUAUCACACCUACCUCAUACCACACACAACAUCAGCCCUCAGUGGAUAUGGAUGUGAAAGCUGAAACACAACUUUAAAACUUACAGAAAAAAAUGAAUGUGACCAUGCUUUUGCCCUCCAGGUCCUUGCAAAAGAAAACGGACGGAGGAGAGAGAGGAGAAAGGGGAAGAAGUCACAGUCAAAUUCACUCUUGCCAGUCUCUAAAAUGGCAGAUUCAUUUUGAAACAACUCCAAAUUAAGCCUACAGAGGGAAGGCCUGGCUGAGUCUGCUGAGCACCUAUUACAGCUUCGGCAGCAUAGCACAUUUCGGUCCACAACAGUUGUGUAAGAUUGUGAUGGAGCUGGAAAUUUCCUAUUGCCUAGUGAGAUCAUGUCCUAAUGCAGAACGCAGAAUCACGAAGAGUGACAAAUGCCUGCCGUCAGCUGCUGGCCGGGCUGCCUGUCAUGCAGCAGCGCACAACAGAAGCACACCUUUCUCCUGUUCCCAGUGGUCAGAGCCACCCAAGUGGGGCUGUGGGCCCCCAGCACUUCUACUUCAGCAUGGAGACCCCCUGCUGCCUGGCUCCCUCCCCAGGCCCACCAGGCUAGUCCCCUCCCCUGUCCCUCUCUCACACCUGCUCUCAUAGCCACGCGGGCCUUUCUGGUGCACACAGCAACUCAGUUCAGGGCUCAGUAACCCCCUCCCAAUUCAGGGGCAUGACUCCUUCCAGAUUCUCCUUAAAUGUCACCUCCUCCAAAAAGCCUUCUUCAAUCACCUCUUCUAAAG
Molecule: long non-coding RNA, 1401 nt
Organism: Symphalangus syndactylus (siamang)
Lineage: Eukaryota; Metazoa; Chordata; Mammalia; Primates; Hylobatidae
Source: RefSeq, a predicted model, not a curated record